UACGUAGGGUGCGAGCGUUGUCCGGAAUUACUGGGCGUAAAGAGCUCGUAGGUGGUUUGUCGCGUUGUCCGUGAAAACUCACAGCUUAACUGUGGGCGUGCGGGCGAUACGGGCAGACUGGAGUACUGCAGGGGAGACUGGAAUUCCUGGUGUAGCGGUGGAAUGCGCAGAUAUCAGGAGGAACACCUGCGGCGAAGGCGGGUUGCUGGGCUGACACUGACGCUGAGGCGCGAAAGCCAGGGGAGCGAACGGG
This 253-nucleotide ribosomal RNA is filed under the name uncultured bacterium. RNAcentral describes it as "partial 16S ribosomal RNA". It matches the Rfam family "Bacterial small subunit ribosomal RNA", at positions 524 to 776 of the family's 1533-position model. The record is from RNAcentral.